CUCGUAGGCGGUUCAACAAGUCGGUCGUGAAAGCCCGGGGCUCAACCCCGGGACGCCGGUCGAAACUGUUGUGACUAGAGUUCGGUAGAGGUGAGUGGAAUUCUCAGUGUAGCGGUGGAAUGCGCAGAUAUUGAGAGGAACACCAUUAGCGAAGGCGGCUCACUGGGCCGAUACUGACGCUGAGGAGCGAAAGCGUGGGGAGCAAACAGGAUUAGAUACCCUGGUAGUCC
This 230-nucleotide ribosomal RNA is filed under the name uncultured bacterium. Its description in RNAcentral is "partial 16S ribosomal RNA". It matches the Rfam family "Bacterial small subunit ribosomal RNA", at positions 568 to 796 of the family's 1533-position model. The record is from RNAcentral.